Molecule: ribosomal RNA, 1507 nt
Filed under: Escherichia coli
Lineage: Bacteria; Pseudomonadati; Pseudomonadota; Gammaproteobacteria; Enterobacterales; Enterobacteriaceae
Description: partial 23S ribosomal RNA
Rfam family: Bacterial large subunit ribosomal RNA
Source: RNAcentral
GUACACAAAAAUGCACAUGCUGUGAGCUCGAUGAGUAGGGCGGGACACGUGGUAUCCUGUCUGAAUAUGGGGGGACCAUCCUCCAAGGCUAAAUACUCCUGACUGACCGAUAGUGAACCAGUACCGUGAGGGAAAGGCGAAAAGAACCCCGGCGAGGGGAGUGAAAAAGAACCUGAAACCGUGUACGUACAAGCAGUGGGAGCACAGAGCAAUCUGUGUGACUGCGUACCUUUUGUAUAAUGGGUCAGCGACUUAUAUUCUGUAGCAAGGUUAACCGAAUAGGGGAGCCGAAGGGAAACCGAGUCUUAACUGGGCGUUAAGUUGCAGGGUAUAGACCCGAAACCCGGUGAUCUAGCCAUGGGCAGGUUGAAGGUUGGGUAACACUAACUGGAGGACCGAACCGACUAAUGUUGAAAAAUUAGCGGAUGACUUGUGGCUGGGGGUGAAAGGCCAAUCAAACCGGGAGAUAGCUGGUUCUCCCCGAAAGCUAUUUAGGUAGCGCCUCGUGAAUUCAUCUCCGGGGGUAGAGCACUGUUUCGGCAAGGGGGUCAUCCCGACUUACCAACCCGAUGCAAACUGCGAAUACCGGAGAAUGUUAUCACGGGAGACACACGGCGGGUGCUAACGUCCGUCGUGAAGAGGGAAACAACCCAGACCGCCAGCUAAGGUCCCAAAGUCAUGGUUAAGUGGGAAACGAUGUGGGAAGGCCCAGACAGCCAGGAUGUUGGCUUAGAAGCAGCCAUCAUUUAAAGAAAGCGUAAUAGCUCACUGGUCGAGUCGGCCUGCGCGGAAGAUGUAACGGGGCUAAACCAUGCACCGAAGCUGCGGCAGCGACACUAUGUGUUGUUGGGUAGGGGAGCGUUCUGUAAGCCUGUGAAGGUGUACUGUGAGGUAUGCUGGAGGUAUCAGAAGUGCGAAUGCUGACAUAAGUAACGAUAAAGCGGGUGAAAAGCCCGCUCGCCGGAAGACCAAGGGUUCCUGUCCAACGUUAAUCGGGGCAGGGUGAGUCGACCCCUAAGGCGAGGCCGAAAGGCGUAGUCGAUGGGAAACAGGUUAAUAUUCCUGUACUUGGUGUUACUGCGAAGGGGGGACGGAGAAGGCUAUGUUGGCCGGGCGACGGUUGUCCCGGUUUAAGCGUGUAGGCUGGUUUUCCAGGCAAAUCCGGAAAAUCAAGGCUGAGGCGUGAUGACGAGGCACUACGGUGCUGAAGCAACAAAUGCCCUGCUUCCAGGAAAAGCCUCUAAGCAUCAGGUAACAUCAAAUCGUACCCCAAACCGACACAGGUGGUCAGGUAGAGAAUACCAAGGCGCUUGAGAGAACUCGGGUGAAGGAACUAGGCAAAAUGGUGCCGUAACUUCGGGAGAAGGCACGCUGAUAUGUAGGUGAAGUCCCUCGCGGAUGGAGCUGAAAUCAGUCGAAGAUACCAGCUGGCUGCAACUGUUUAUUAAAAACACAGCACUGUGCAAACACGAAAGUGGACGUAUACGGUGUGACGCCUGCCCGGUGC